Molecule: long non-coding RNA, 6706 nt
Filed under: Ananas comosus (pineapple)
Lineage: Eukaryota; Viridiplantae; Streptophyta; Magnoliopsida; Poales; Bromeliaceae
Description: long non-coding RNA (ACOM_LNC029882)
Source: RNAcentral
UAUAAAAUAUGUAACAAAAUUAUCGUUAAAUUAAGUAAAAUCUCUAAGGGGCUAUUUGGUUGCAUGCAUUUCUAGCUGCACUGUAAUUGAAAAUGCAUGCAUCUAUAAAAUUUUUGUUUGGUUUCGUAUAGUUAAGCCCAACUAUUGCAAUUGCAUCUGUACGAGAAGGCCAAACUUCAGCAGUUGGUACUACAGUCAAAUUUGGCUGCAGUACCAACUGUUGCUGUUGGGCCGAAGUCAGCUAACCCAUUAAAAAAAUAAACAGAGUGUGAUUUUUUUUAUAAGCUUCUUUUUUUUAUUUUUUUUCAAAAAUAUCUAUUCAUGAAAUCUGAUAGAGUUUAAUUAAUAAUGUCUGUUAGGAUCAAUAAAUUUUUUUCAUACGCGUUUUUUUUUUUUUCAGUCUGUUGGUUUAAUAAUAUCUUAAUUUUUAUUUUGACCAAAUCUAUAAUAUAUAUGCAUUUAGAAUUUAUUAAAUUCAUACAUAAUUUUAUAAUAUAUAAAUUAUAUAUAGAUAUAAAAGUCUUAAUUAAUAAUUAAAACAUGAUUACGUUAUGCUCAGAAAAAAUAAUCUCAUAUUUCUAUCUAAAAAUUGACAGAACUUACAAAUACAAAUCUCAACUGCAGACUACCAAACAAAAUAAAUAUAACUGGAGCAGUUGCAACUGCAUAAAAUCAAACAGACUAGAUAUAAUUAUGACUGUAAUAUUUACAACUAUAUGUACUUCCAACUAUACUAUUUUUCUAAGGCUUAACUAGUUUGGUAUUGAGGCCUAUCUAACGCUAUUAGAUAAAACGGAGUUGUGGAAAAAGCAUAUAGGGAUAUGGUUCUGCGUUCUCCAGUGGGACCGCAAAAAAUAUAUCGUAACCGACUCAUCGCGAUAUGCGGAACGCAAUAUUACGUACGGAAACAAAUAUGGUAUUUUUCGAACGUAUUUUCUCACCGCACGUAACGCAAUCUCCCGGCAAUAUCAAACGAAGUCUAACUAUAUCCAACCAAACAGUUCUUAAUAAGAAUUUCAGACAUAUACAACAGAAAAAAAAAAAAAGAAAAAGAAAAAGAAAAAGAAAUCUUUAUCUAUAUCAAAAUGAUCGAUCGAUCUAAUGGUUUCGGGAAGGGGGAAGGUCCCCAUACAUUUUUACCUUGUACUACUCUUCGGUUUAUUACUGCAUGCAAUUAAUUAUUACUCACUCAAAAUCACUGCAUGAAAAGGAGACAACGUGUGAGUCCACCAUACGGGGAUCCUCUGUGGGUGCAUGCACUAUGCAGUAGCUGCGGCACAUCCUAUGACAGUGUGUGUGCCGAUCACUCCAUUGCUGUAUGAUGUUGAUCGGAUUGCUUUUUGUCAAACCAACAUGGAAUGGUAUUUAUUUUGUUGUGCACUCCUGGCCCCCCUCUCAGCAUUUGUUGCACUGUUUUGUGGUUGUGACCUGUGCUUCUUUUUUUUUUUUUUUUUGUUUUUAAAUCUUUGUACACUCGCACACGCAUCUAUCUAAAUUUUCAUUCGAAGCGCGAUUUGAAUUCGAGACCUACAGUUGAAAAUAGGGUAACAUGCAUAUCUAUUAACUAUCGCGAUGGGUACGAAUUUUAGUCACAUAUCGUAUAUAAUGAAUCUGGUCAAUUUCGAUCAGUGUAUUAAUUAAUUAUGGUCAACUUCAACAUGCGUUUGUCAUUAGUAAUGCGAUAGCUGUUACCGUCGCCACUUGUCUUCAAAUUUAGGAACCAUUUCACACUUCGCUAAAAUUUUAUAACUUUUGUAAUUAAAUUGUGUGAUUAGCACCUGUGAGUGGACAUUUAGAGUCGUGUGAUAUGAUCAAUUAGUUAGCUCUAGAAUAAACUAGUAUUAGAAAUGUAUAAAUCAUUAACCCAAACAUGCAUAUUCAGUAUUAAUUAUAUAUAGGUGUAUAUCCAGCUCACAACAAUUCAAUAGCCAUGCAUUCAUAUACUGAGCAUAUAUAAUCACAUAGUGGUGAAGCUACAAGUUGAUAUAUACACUGAUAUUUUAUGUAUAUAUAUAUAUAUAUAUAUAUAUAUAUAUAUAUUACACUAGAGGCCCUCUUCUAUUUGUAGAUGAGAAUGCAAGAUGGUCCACUCAUUUACUAGGGCUUGUUUGGUCCCCCUACUCGCGCUGCUUUUGCAUGAAUCGGGGCCAAAAAGUUUUUUGUUUGGUUAGUGGUUUCGUACUGAUUCAAAGGCCACAAAAUUUUCGCAAAAGUAAAAGGUGUGCUUUGAAGAGAAACACUAAAAAGUGUAAUGUUCGUCUCCAGCGAAGUGUAAACACUAUAUUGUAGUUGUUUGCGAAAGCAAAUUUACAUAUUUUUUUAAGGAGUCAAGAGCUUGAUCUCUUACAAAAAAAUGUAAAUGCAUAUAUACCAUGCACGGGUUUUGAUACAAAAGAAAACCCUACACGUACAAUCGACCAAAAUAACUACUUAAUUGUCACAUUUUUUGACUCAAUCUCCGUGAAUGAAAAUGAAGCGGAGACUAUAAUUAUAACCAAAGUGAAGUACAAAAGUAUGCGAUGUAUCAAAAAAUCCUAGCCCCGAAAUACACACAGUCCUCUCUCUCCUACAAUAUGCUACACCCUAUUGCACACACGUACAAAUCCAUCAGAGAAGAGCCAAUAUUUACCAUAAUUAAACUAAAAUUAAUUUCAGUCUAAGAUUGGAAAUAGUUCUGAUUUGACUAAAAUCCUAAUAGGAUAAGAAAUAUUCAUAAUAAGAUUAGGAAUAAUUUCUAUAAUAUAUAUCAAAAACUACUGUGAUUAGUAUUAAUACCAGCUUAUCUAAAAUGGUUGAUAAAAAAAGAAUAGAUCUAGAAAAUCCUCCGACUCCUAAAAUCGAGACACUUCUAACAAAUGUGAACAGCGGAACAAACAGUUUACACAGUACUAGCUAGGGACCACAUCCUAUUAAAUAUAAAAAUAUAUAGACAUCGUUCUCUAAUAGCUUAAUUAAGUUUUUAGAUCUAGUACAACGAUUAUUUUACAUGGUUUCAAAGCGGAAAACCCUGAGUUUGAGUUACGCCAGACUUUUAGCAUUAUUAAUUUUCUUUUAUUUAAAUCAAGUCCAGUCUCGAGUCCAGACGUGAGGGGGAGUAUUAAAUAUAACACUACAACAAAAACGGUCUAUAGCGACACUUUUAAAUAUAGGUACAUGUCAAAAAAGUGCUGCUAGCUAAAAUUAACGACACUUUUAAAAAGUGUUGCUAUAUGUGGGGUCGCUAGGUAUAUAGUGACAGUUAAAGAGUGUCGCUAUAACCUAAAAGAGUGCUGCUAAUUUACGAACACUUAUUUAAGCAUUUAGCAACCGCCGAAACUUUAUCUCGUUAGCUGCGGUAGCGGAGGAGGACGACAGGAAAGGCUCUUCGUCUAGAAUUUCAGUGGAUUGAGUGAAGAGAGAAGAAAAGAUGGCAAUUGAUUUUUCUUUUUUUUUUCUUUUCUGUUUGUAAUCGGGCCAAAUGGACUGGGUGUGGUGGGUUGAGUAGAGUAAUCUUUUAUUUUUGGUUGGAUUGGGCUUUAUAUUUAGGCAUUAGCAGAUAUUUUUUUAAGUUUUAGCAUAAAUGAGACACUUACUCAAAAGUGUCCCAAACAUGUGUCCCUAUAAUCUAAUUCUGUUGUAGUGUAAAAAUAUAUAGAUACAGUUCUCUAAUAGCUUAGGUUUUUAGAGUACAUGCAUACAACGGUUGUUUCACACAUCCCUGUUAAAAUUUUGUUCUCUUGUUUGGUUUUUUUAGCAUGUGUGGGAAUUCAUCAUGAGAUUGAUUCAACAAAAUAUACAGUUGACUAAAUAGGUUUCUAUAUUGAAGUUGAGGCAAGUCAUUUUCCUCAAAGAGGUUAUGAGGAAAGGUAGAGUCAUCAUCUUAUUAAAGAGAUGAGACAAGUGUCAAAGCAACUUACCUAACAAUUGUCUUGUUUUUCCUUAUGGGGUUUUAAAGUGUGAAAAUGCCCUUCAAAAGAUUUUGAAAGAUCCUUGUCAUUUUAUUGCUUUCAGAAAGAGAGGCAGGAGAUGUUCAGACUCAGCUGUGGAUUAAUUAGACAACUUUUUGCCACAAUGGUUUAAUUUUUGUUCUUAGUAUGACCCCCAGGGAUUUGACCCCUUUUUUGCAUUUUAUUUUCGCAUAUUAGUCCUUAAAAAUAUAGUUAUUUACAUAUAAAUCUUCCGAAACCGUCAUAAAAUGCACGGCCUAUCUUCAAAUGCAUGUUAACCUUCAAACUGGGGGAUAUCAAUCUUUUUUUUUUUGAGAGAUAGGUAGCACGCUACCCGCUUCAUUUAUUUCAUUUAGAAAUAAACUUAGCUGAAAAUGUGAAUCAAAUAGGAUUCGAACUUGGGACAUCGGAUAUAUACCAACCACCUGUAUGUAGAUAAGUUCAUUACCAUGUAAUUAACUUACUAUUUUUUUCCCUAAAAAAUAAAAAUAUUUUAUUUUUUUAUGCAUAUUAGUCUUUGAACAAUUAAUAAAGUUAUGCUAAGUUAACCACAAAGUUAACAUAAUGCUUUGCCUUUAUAAAACUCAGAGUUUCUAAGGGUAACUAUGCAAUAAUAAAAAAAAAAGUUCUAGCUUUGUGAUUCUAGCAUAUCUACCAAUGGGCUAACAUGUAAUUUACUAAACUUUAGGGAGUAAUAUGCGAAAAAAAAAAACCUUUUCCUUUCUAGAAGGAAAAGGUGACCACUCCAAUUGAGUAAUUGUGUUGGGCCAUCCUUUUCAAUUCAGGAAAAUAAAUAGUUUUAAAAACAUUGGAGUAAUCAAACAGUAGACACCCUGACCCCACCACUCUUAUGAUUCUUCAAUCAUGCAUGGCCUAUCAUUAAUGGCACAUAUAUUAGGUGUUUUUCCUUCAUUUUCUUCUUUUUAAAUAUAACUCUUGUUUAUUGGCGAAAGAAACAUAGCUAAGCGCCUAUUUGAUCCCACUAAAAAAAUAUUAUUUACAAUAAUAAAGUUGUUAAAAAAUAUAUUAGUAAUUCUUAUAGUAGAAAAAACAAAUGAUUCUGAUUAGAAUUUCUACUGUAAAUAAAGGCACUCAGAGGUUCGUUGGAUUACUAAAAGUUGAAGAAUUUUUUGCCUACUUAAAAAAUUUUACAACUGUUUACUUACACUGAUGUUGACAGGUACUUCUUCUUAGUUCUCUCUAAUUAUUAUAAAAUAAAAUAUUACUAGUACAUCCAAAAAGUUAGAAUUUGAAACUCUUUAAAUUUCUAGUAUUUAAAAAAAAUAAUUGUAAUAAGACGCGAGCCCUAUGAGCCCUUGGAUAUGUACCAGCAAUAUUUAUCUUAUUAUAAUUACCAAUUUACCCUUGGGUGCAUUUAGUUUAGGUUAUCUUAGCGGGAUUAAAAUCACCACAAAAUCACCAAAAAUGGUGCAAAUUUUUUUUUCGAAAAUAUUACCGAGCAGAAGGGUGGGUAUUUCAUAUUAUAUAUUGAUAGCAUACAAUUUUGCAUGUUAUACAAAAUUAUAAGUUUACCUCUCCAGCCUCUCCUCCCCAAAUCCUUUCAAUACAUCAUUUUUAUUUUCGCUCUCUCUCUUUCUCUCCAUCUUUACUGUCAGAAUUACAACACUUUAUUGCAAAUCAGAAUUAUUGAAUUUUAUAAACUGAAUCAAAUAUAGUAAUUUUAUAUAUUCUGUAAUCUAGUAUUAUACUACUGUAUUAAAUCAAACGCGGUAAUACAAUAUCAGUAGUAAUCUGGUUCAACUAACCGGUAAUUCCAUAACGCAAACUAAAUGCGCCCUUAAAAUAAACUACCUUUUCUACAAAUUGCACCAAGUGUCCAAUAUUUAAAAUUGUCUACAUCAGUACAUAAGUAAACAUAUGCAAAUUAUGUUGAAAAAGUACAACAAUACUAGAUAUGUAGCUAGGUUAAUUUUUACCAAAUUGAGAUAGACAACAAAGGAGAUACAUAUCAAUGAGUUGGCCUUUCUUCUUUUUUGCAGGUAUCAAUUAAACUCUUGCACUCUAUUGUCUCCAAUCAUCCUGAAGUUUGUGGAGUGUGGACAAAGUUUUAUGAAUGAGUAAAAUAAUUAAAAGUGUUUUCAAGGGGGAAAAAGUGAGUUUUAGUUAUAACCUUCAAUAUGUGAAAUGUAAGAGCACAUAGGUUUAAUUUCUUUAAAAUUAAUGGAGCUAGCACUCCCUCACGUGCAUAUUGGAUAUGGAGUCUGACUACUAUACUCUUAUGAGUACGAUCGCCCUCGUACUCAUAAGUCGUUUUUUAUGAUAGAGCUUCCGAAUCGACGAUUCAUAUCGUUAAACGUUAUCUAGAGCAUUUAAAACUUCUAGAAAUUAAAUUUUAUAAUUUUUCGACAUCAUUUAUCUUACGAUCAAAAGGUUACAAAAUUGAUAAUUUUUAACGGCCGGUAUGGGAUACUUUCUAGUUUAGCAGUGUAAAAGAAUCAGAAUCGAUUGAAUUUUUUAUAGAAAAUUCUAUUCGCUAUAAAGAUCAAUAACUCCGAUCGUAAAUUGAAGGAUCCGAUCAUCCAUUUUUGGACGUCGUUCGAUUUUGACCAUUCAUUUUAUUCUCACUUGAUGGACUUUAUUAUGAUUUCGAAAAAUUAUGAAAUUUAUUUUUUAGAAGUUUCAAAUACUCUAGAUCAUAUUUAAUAGAGUAGAUCGUCGAUUCGGAAGUUCCAUCAUCAAACUCAAUUUAUGAGUACGAUGGGUUUUAUACUCAUAAAAGUAUAGUAGUCCUACUCUUGGAUAUGAACGAUAUAUAAAAA